AUUGAUAGUGUGCCUUUUAUUUCUCUCAUCUGAUGGAGACAUGAAUAUGAUAUGUGCGACAUAUGCACUGUUUUUUAUCCAUAGACGUAUAUCCGGUUUCCCGCUUAAGAUUGUUUUCUUUGUAUUUUACUCCAUGCUGUGUAGAUUACAGAAACUUAGAUUAUGUAUAAAAAAAAGAAAAUUUUCUGUGUUCCGUGAGAGACUUAUGUAUAAAAUUUUAAUUGAUUCCAUUGAAAAUACAUUAGAACCUUUUAAAUAUAUUUUUUUAGUAUGUUUGAUUUUGAAUAUCCCGGGACUAAUGGCGUCUAUGUACCUUUUUCUAGAAUUGACUCAGCUCGAAGAAGAGAUGAACUUUACAGUAAUAACGUAUUUAUUUUUGAUACCUAUUAUCAUUACUAUCAUCUUACCAACUCUGGCGGCUAGUUCGCUAUCUCAAGAAGCUCAGAAUAUUAAAAUGGUAUUACAAAAUCGAUUUAUUGAACUAAAAUACAGUAACAAAACCACAGAAAGAUUCAUAGAUUUCAUAGAUGGAAGACCUUUUAAGUUCUUUAUAUUCUCUUUCAUACCGAUGGACGCUACACUUCUUGUCGUAAUAUUGAAAUACUGUAUUUCUUAUUUCAUAGUUCUUGUACAGUUAACACAUAUCUAUUAAGGACCAAUAGGAUAUUCAGCAUAG
Long non-coding RNA from Danaus plexippus (monarch butterfly), 676 nucleotides. RefSeq lists it as uncharacterized. The record is from RefSeq and is a predicted model, not a curated record. NCBI's taxonomy places the organism in Eukaryota, Metazoa, Arthropoda, Insecta, Lepidoptera, Nymphalidae. The transcript is spliced from 4 exons.